RNAcentral lists this non-coding RNA (24 nucleotides) under Rattus norvegicus (Norway rat). Lineage: Eukaryota; Metazoa; Chordata; Mammalia; Rodentia; Muridae. The record is from RNAcentral.
UAGCAGUUGAGCCAAAUCUGAGGU